This is an RNA transcript of Pyrus x bretschneideri (Chinese white pear), 2308 nucleotides long. It is a transcript of the gene named pentatricopeptide repeat-containing protein At3g60050, with no coding region annotated. NCBI's taxonomy places the organism in Eukaryota, Viridiplantae, Streptophyta, Magnoliopsida, Rosales, Rosaceae. The transcript is spliced from 2 exons. The record is from RefSeq and is a predicted model, not a curated record.
GGGGCGAUUCUACCCUCGAAACACCGAAUCCCUCCCCGCUUCCCCUCGCUCGUAGGGGUUCGUCUCCUAAGCUGCAAUACUCCAAUGCUUCACUCACUCGCACAGCUAAAACCGCCGGCGGUACUCGAAAGCCAAAAGCUUCAAAAGACCGGUAUCGCCCUCAUCAAAUUACUUAAUCUCCGGUAAGUCCUCCACCACCUCUUCUCACUCUUCGAAGAUUACACAACUCAAUGAACUGCUUCUGCUCGAUUCAUUCCGUUUCCCCCAAUUUAGUCCCUCCAGUUUAAUGGGCAUCCCUCAAUUUUUUAAUACAAAGCAUCUAAAUUUAUUUUUGCUUUCAAUUCCUGCUGUAUUAUUGGGUUUAUCGGAUUUGAUAAGUGCUGCAAAGUUACAGAGAUAAUGGGUACCAGUCAUGAACUGUAUAUAUCUGUUUGGUCCAAGGGUUAUUCGAAAAAUUUCGUGUUAUGUUGUCGUAGUACGAAAGUUAAGUGACGGGUGCUUUCGCGGCGAUAAGGGGGAUAAUGGGUAUGAGGUUGUGGAGGAAACCUUGAAGACAAUGUGGAAAAGUUCGGAAUUUGAUUCGGGUUUGGAUGAGAAACAUGGUGUUUAUGAAUCUGAGAACCGUCCCCGGGAACAUUUCUCGCUGCGACGGAACUUUUUUGAGAAUGCGAAGAUGGAUACGGCGAGGGUUCUUAAGGUUCUUAGAGAAGAUGGACCUGGUUUUGAUACUAAAGCAGCUUUGGGUGAGUUGCAUAUAGAGGUUUCAGGGCUUCUUGUGAGGGAAGUUCUGUUUGAGAUUUUGAAACAGAUAGAUUAUGGGAGUAAAAUGCGGUGUGCGAAGUUGGGGUAUAAGUUUUUUGUGUGGUCUGGUCAGCUUGAAAAUUACAAGCACACAGCAAACACAUAUCAUUUAAUGAUGAAGAUAUUUGCUGAUUGUGAAGAGUUUAAAGCAAUGUGGAGGUUAGUUGAUGAGAUGACUGAGAAAGGGUAUCCGACUACAGCACAGACGUUCAACAUUUUGAUACGCACUUGUGGUGAGGCAGGCUUGGCUAGGAAAGUCGUGGAAAGGUUCAUCAAAUCGAAGACAUUUAAUUAUAGGCCAUUUAAACACUCGUACAAUGCGAUUUUGCAUUCCCUUCUUGUGGUGAAGCAGUACAAGUUGAUUGAGUGGGUCUAUCAACAGAUGUUGGCGGAGGGUCACUCAGCAGAUAUUCUAACUUAUAACGUGAUGAUGUGUGCAAAAUAUAGAUUGGGGAAGUUGGAUCAGUUUCACAGACUGCUUGAUGAAAUGGGUAGGAGUGGAUUCACUCCAGAUUUUCAUACUUACAAUAUUCUUCUUCAUGUACUUGGUAAGGGAGACAAACCGCUUGCAGCUCUUAAUCUUUUGAAUCACAUGAAGGAAGAGGGUUUCAAACCAAGUGUUCUUCACUUCACAACGUUGAUAGAUGGACUGAGCAGGGCUGGAAAUAUGGAUGCCUGCAAAUAUUUUUUUGAUGAGAUGACAAAGCACGAGUGCAUGCCGGAUGUUGUUUGUUACACUGUAAUGAUCACCGGGUAUAUUGUGGCUGGGGAGCUUGAGAAGGCCCAAGUAGUGUUUGAUGAGAUGAUCCCUAAUGGGCAGCUUCCGAAUGUAUUUACAUACAAUGCCAUGAUUCGUGGACUUUGUAUGGCAAGAAAGUUUGAGGAAGCAUGCUCCAUGCUCAAGGUUAUGGAAUCUAGAGGUUGUAACCCGAAUUUCACUGUGUACAGCACCCUUGUAAGUUAUUUGCGAAAUGCUGGAAAGCUUGCUGAAGCUCAUGAAGUAAUAACACGCAUGACGGAGAAAGGGCAGUAUACCCAUCUACUUUCGAAGUUCAAGGGAUAUAGGAGAUGUUAAAGUGGUAAAAAUUAAUUCAUUCAGCUCGGUUAACAAUAUGUAGCUCCAGGGUUUAUCAGUUAUGCAAUGUACCCACACCUUGUAUCAGUUGUCUCUCGAGGAGAAAAGUAAAACUAGAUUCUCAUGCUUGGAAACUGUAGCACCGUUCUGCUGGUAAGCAGUGAGAACCGAAGGCAAGGAUCGACAGGGAGAACUGAAGUUUUAUCUGCAGAUUUUCAUGGCUGGUACGUAUCGCUUAAGUUUGCGGUGUCAACACAUAAAUUAAAAGGUUGUUGAACCAUGUAAUCUAAAUUUGUGAAAAUACAGAUUUAUAGUUACAACAACUGUAACUAAUAUGCUGAACUGGAAGCUUAAGCUAACAUAGUUUAUACCUUAAAUUGGGGUGUAAUCCGAAAUGGUGUAGCAAUACCUCGUACAAUUCCGCCAUGGCAA